UACGGGGGGGGCAAGCGUUGUUCGGAAUUACUGGGCGUAAAGGGCUCGUAGGUGGCCAACUAAGUCAGACGUGAAAUCCCUCAGCUUAACUGGGGAACUGCGUCUGAUACUGGAUGGCUUGAGUUUGGGAGAGGGAUGCGGAAUUCCAGGUGUAGCGGUGAAAUGCGUAGAUAUCUGGAGGAACACCGGUGGCGAAGGCGGCAUCCUGGACCAACACUGACGCUGAGUGAGCGAAAGCCAGGGGAGCAAACGGG
Molecule: ribosomal RNA, 254 nt
Filed under: uncultured bacterium
Lineage: Bacteria
Description: partial 16S ribosomal RNA
Rfam family: Bacterial small subunit ribosomal RNA
Source: RNAcentral